UAGGGAAUCUUCGGCAAUGGGGCAACCCUGACCGAGCAACGCCGCGUGAGUGAAGAAGGUUUUCGGAUCGUAAAGCUCUGUUGUAAGAGAAGAACGUGUGUGAGAGUGGAAAGUUCACACAGUGACGGUAACUUACCAGAAAGGGACGGCUAACUACGUGCCAGCAGCCGCGGUAAUACGUAGGUCCCGAGCGUUGUCCGGAUUUAUUGGGCGUAAAGCGAGCGCAGGCGGUUUAAUAAGUCUGAAGUUAAAGGCAGUGGCUUAACCAUUGUUCGCUUUGGAAACUGUUAAACUUGAGUGCAGAAGGGGAGAGUGGAAUUCCAUGUGUAGCGGUGAAAUGCGUAGAUAUAUGGAGGAACACCGGUGGCGAAAGCGGCUCUCAGGUCUGUAACUGACGCUGAGGCUCGAAAGCGUGGGGAGCAAACAGG
This 428-nucleotide ribosomal RNA is filed under the name bacterium. RNAcentral describes it as "partial 16S ribosomal RNA". It matches the Rfam family "Bacterial small subunit ribosomal RNA", at positions 355 to 776 of the family's 1533-position model. The record is from RNAcentral.